This 344-nucleotide ribosomal RNA is filed under the name uncultured bacterium. RNAcentral's name for it is "bacterial SSU rRNA". It matches the Rfam family "Bacterial small subunit ribosomal RNA", at positions 331 to 690 of the family's 1533-position model. The record is from RNAcentral.
CCAGACUCCUACGGGAGGCAGCAGUGGGGACUCUUGGGCAAUGGUCUCCCGCCUGACCCCGCACCGCCGCGUGCCGGCAGAAGGCCUUCGGGUUGUAAACUUCUUUUCUCAGGGACGCAUAGAUGACGGUACCUGAGGAAUAAGCCACGGCUAACUACGUGCCAGCAGCCGCGGUAAUACGUAGGUGGCAAGCGUUAUCCGGAUUUACUGGGUGUAAAGGGCGGGGAGGCGGGGACGCAAGUCAGAUGUGAAAACCACGGGCUCAACCUGGGGCCUGCAUGUGAAACUGUGUUUCUUGAGGCCGGGAGAGGCAGACGGAAUUCCUAGGGGAGCGGUGAAAUGCG